RNA transcript from Polyodon spathula (Mississippi paddlefish), 4776 nucleotides. It is a transcript of the gene named PWWP domain-containing protein 2A-like, with no coding region annotated. The record is from RefSeq and is a predicted model, not a curated record. The transcript has 3 exons. NCBI's taxonomy places the organism in Eukaryota, Metazoa, Chordata, Actinopteri, Acipenseriformes, Polyodontidae.
UGUCUGUUCUGUAUGGUGGGUGGGCGCAUACCCUAUCAGAGAGAGAAGGCUGAGCGUUCACUGGAAAAGCGGAAAGAAAAUGGCGGCCGUGGCUGCGGAGGCUAGAGCUGCUGCAGCAUCAACAACACCAGCGGGGGACAGAGUAGCGCCCGAGCCAGAGACACUGCAGCCAGCCCUGGCGGAGCCCAAAAGCGAUGCCGAGGCUGUGAAGGAGCUUGUUUCACAAAUGGACCCGGAGCCCAUUCCUGAUCAUAGGGAUGCCGCUCCGGAAUGCAGCAGCCUGGUCAGCGCUGAGGCAGAGGGCAGGCCAGAUCCCGUUCCAGAGGCCGCGGGAAAGUCUUAUAUUAAUCCCAGCGAGCAGCAGGAGAAAGAUACCAUGAUGGUCGUAGGAGGUGAAGUGGAGACUGUGACCGCUCUGGCAGACCACGGCCAGGGAAUGGAGCGGACAGCGGAGCGUGAGAACGAGUAUAACGGCGGAGCUACGGAGAUAGCUUCUGAUCCGGUUACUGGCAAUGAGGUCAGUUAUCAUGAUUUUCAGGCUUAUCCCGAAUCCGGGGUUAUUUCUGAUCUAGUGGUUGAGGCGAUCUUGGAUCCAGACCCCGCUGCUGCAUUAGGAGAAGCUGAGAUGGAAACACCUUUGUUGGAGGAACCUGUCGCAACUUGUGAUCACACGGUACACGUAGAACCAGACGAGACCGAACCCAUUGAAACGGGGGGUGAAGCUCGAACUGAGAUCGAGCCAUUGCCAGAGAAUAAACCGGUUGUUGAUGGCGUGGAUACUGAUCUGAAGGAUGAGAAUGCUGUGGGACAGUCGUUUGUUGAUUCUGGUCCACACUGUUCUUCGAUAGCGACCCAAGACUCUAACAUUAUACCGAUACUGGAAAAUGAGAAACUGUUUGGGACCGAUUCAGUUCAAAAUAAAGACAGUGACAUUAACAGUACUGAUAUAGUGGAGCCGCCUGUUUUAUUAUUUGAAGUUAACUCCGCUGCUUCAGAAACAGAGGAACUUGUGGUACCGCAGCCUUUCAAGGUGGAAACCCAACACGGCGAACCAGAAACAAAGUCGAUGGAAGGGAAGGGCUCUGUUGUGGUCCACACAGAGACAAUCGCCGAGCUAAUCCCGGGGUCCGAGGUACGGGUCAUGCUCGAUCAUAUAAUCGAUGAUGCGCUGGUGGUCUCCUUCCGACUUGGCGAGAAGAUGUUUUCUGGGGUGCUUAUGGACCUGUCCAGAAGAUUUGGACCCUAUGGAAUUCCAGUGACUGUGUUUCCCAAAAGAGAAUACAGGGAUAAACCAUAUUCUAUGCAGCUAAAGACUGAAGCAUUCCAGGCAGAGACAGAGAAGGGACAGUGUGAAGCUAUAGGGGAUGCCCCCGAGGACCCCGCCAAGAAUCCACUUGUGCAGACCAACCAAUGGACUUCUAAACCUCCGCCUUUGUUCCAUGAAGGAGCCCCUUACCCUCCACCUUUGUUUAUCAGGGACACUUACAACCAGUCAAUACCUCAGCCCCUUCCGCGGAAAAUUAAAAGGCCGAAGCGCAAACUGUACCGGGAAGAGCCCACGUCUAUUAUGAAUGCCAUUAAACUUCGGCCGCGACAGGUACUGUGUGACAAGUGCAAGAACGGCAUUCUGCCGGAGAAGAAGGAUGUGAAAAGGAGUCACUCUGACUACAGGGGCGAGGAGAGCAAAAAAAGGCGGAACGAGAGUGUGGCGACUGUGAACAAGAGGCUCCGAAGUGAGCUUAAGGUGGAGGAGAAAGGCCGCAGCACAGAGGGAGUGAAACGCCACGCUGCCGUAGUCUCCAAGGUCUCCAGUGUGGUCCAGACCAAAGGUGGCGGCAGCAGCAGGGUAGUCAAAGUGACUGCUGCAGCUUCCCAGGUGAACAGCUCACGGGUGCAGCUCAACACCAAGAAAGUGCUGCAGAGCAAGAACGUGGAUCACUCUAAGGCACAGGAUGUGCUGAAGAUCGCCAAGGAGAAAGUGCAGAAGCGGCAGCGGGAUAGCGGUGGCGAUGCCAACAUGACGGGCACGGCGGCUUCCAAGGGAACCAUUCAGAAAGUCCACUUCACCCGACGCCUCCAGAACAGCAGCGGCAACGCGGCCCCCCUGCCACCCAGGAUACGCAUCAAGCCCCAAAGGUACCGUAACGAAGAGAACAACUCUUCCUCUUGUAAAGCGGGCUUUGAUAAAGUUCAGGGCUGCUGUAAAGGGGUGCCCACGACCACUCCACCCCAUUGCACCUCGACUCGCUCCUCUGCAGGUGAGGCCACUUCUUCCGAAAACCAGAGCCCCGCUAAAAGCCCAGAGUCUGAGCCCAUGCCUGAGCCCCAACCCGAUCCCCAGCCCGAGUCUGAAGCCAACCCUGAGCCUGAGCCAGGGCCAGAGGCCGAGGCCACAGAUGAGAAUAAAGACCUGGUAGUGGUGUCUGAGGAGCAGGAGCAGGAGGAGAAACGGGAAAAGCGAGGCAGCAAGGGCAAUAUCACAGUUUACAUGACCUUAAAUCAGAAAAAGCCAGACUCGUCUAGUGCUUCGAUGUGCAGUAGCGAUAGUGCAGAUGACCUUAAAUCGUCCAACUCUGAGUGUAGCUCUACCGAGACCUUUGACUUUCCUCCUCCCGGCUCUUUGCACGCACCCUCCACCUCCAGCACCACCACCACCAGCAGCACCACCACCUCCACAACCUCCUCCUCCUCCUCCUCCUCCUCCUCCUCUUCGAAGGAAGAGAAAAAGCUCAGUAAUUCCUUGAAACCGAAAGUCUUUUCCAAAAAUGUCUCUAAGUGCGUGACUCCAGAUGGCAGGACCAUAUGCGUAGGGGACAUUGUGUGGGCCAAAAUAUACGGCUUCCCUUGGUGGCCAGCCCGAAUCCUUGCUAUAACCGUGAGCCGCAAAGAUAACGGUCUUUUAGUCAGACAGGAGGCCCGGAUCUCCUGGUUCGGUUCCCCGACGACUUCUUUCUUGGCCCUCUCGCAGCUCUCCCCCUUUUUAGAAAGCUUCCAGUUGCGUUUUAACAAGAAGAGAAAGGGCCUGUACCGCAAGGCCAUCACAGAGGCAGCCAAGGCUGCCAAGCAGCUGAGUCCUGAGGUGCGGGCCUUGCUGACACAGUUUGAGACGUGAAACAUGGCAGGAAAGGAAGGUAGGCAAGCAAGCUGUGCCUGAGAUUUCCACUAUCCCUGUCGCCUCCAAACACCUCGCCACUGGCAUAGAAAAUUCCAGCCGAGAAUCGCUGGAAUUAAUUUGGCACAGCGACACUAACAAGCUGCUGAUUGGUCCCUGAAGUCCACUACAACUCUGCCACUUUUUGGGAGUCUACAGAGAGAGAGAGGGUACCCCAUCCCGGGCACAAGAGAAUGAAAACCUUAUUUUACCUGAUGAGAAAAUAUUUUAUAAAUAGAAAAAAAAAAAAAAAAAGAUUUUGCAAUAAGUAUUGCAUGUGUGGAAAUUCUCUAUAUUGUAAAGAUUAGGGACCCAGUUUGUAUUGAUAGUGUAGCAUCCCUUUGAGUCUAUAAUGUUUCCAUGUGGAUGUUACCCUUUUUGAGUAUUUCUUUUAAAACGAGGGCUGUGAUGAGAAGGUUUUGCUUUCUAUAAUAUUUUGAGCGGAGCCUUGAAUGGGUGGCGCUUGAAGCCCUGAUGCUGCUAAAGGUGCUAGACUUCUCGGAAUGAACCGUACUACUGGAGUGUUCCCUACUCGCUCACUCGCUUUGUCACUCACACAGUGCUAGAAGCCUCCUCAGUUUAAGCACUAUAAUCCAUGCAGAGCAGCUCCGAUACACAUAGUGUACAGUACAGCAUGAAGUUUGAAGUCUGCAAUCUAUCCAAAAUCCAUUUCGGCUGGUUACUACUUGAGGCUGAAACCAAUCUUCUGAUAGUUGGUUACAGUGUGUUUUGUUUUUUUGUUUCUUUUUUUUUUUUUUUUGUAAAAAAUUAUAAAUUAUCCGACUGAGUCCUUGUGAAUACCUCAUUCGGAAGGCAAGGCUCCCGUCUCUUAGCUGCCUUUCCGACUGAUAAGUCUAAUACCUGUACCAGCAAAAUCUGUCUAUGCAACUUCUUUUGGAUUCGCAUUACAUGACACGCUUGAUUUUAUUAAUUAUUUGACUGGCUUGAGGCAUUGCAUGCAUUGGAUAUAUCUGCACAGUGUAUUUUUUUAUAAUGCUGACCUUUGUUGUAAAUGUUUGAUGAGCUCAGGUCACAAUUGGCUGAAGUCAGCACUCCUGGAAAAAUGAGUGCCGAAAUGUGGGGUGAGUCUCAUUUCCCUGCUCCAUCAGGAGCUGGUGCCCUCCAGUGCAUUAGGGCUGAGAAGCACACCCCAAUCUAACCUAAUAAGUGAGAGUGGAGAUAUGAGUAAAAGUCAAGCACUGCCUUUUUGUCCAAAAAAAAAAAGAGGAACUUGCUUAAUCAAGCAGGAUUCUUUCUCCUUUUUGUAUUUAAAGCUUUUGACAUUUAAAAUGCAUGUCAGGGAAACUGAAGGAUUUCAUCAAUUGAAACUGAUGCAUCAACUCCAGCUUACUGAAACAAUGCAAAUGAACGAUACUAGUGAUGGAAGCCUUUUAUUUUCUGCUUUUUUUUUUUUUUUUAUGGAAAAAAGGCAAAGCUAGAAUUGUACUCAUGUGUUGACUGUUUCUUUAAUGAAUGGUGAUUAUAAUGGAUUUAACACAUAGUAAUAGUUGGCACCUGGAGACAAGGCUGGCAAAUGAAACUCUGAAACAAUCCUUAUGCAUGUAAUGGUGGCGUCCACUGUCUGUGAAAUUCGCAGGGCUUUCCUUCGAACGCUCACUCACUGC